CUUGAUGCAGAACUUGUAAAUGGAGACAUUUUACUGUUGUGCUGCAUAGGGAGAUUUUGUGUAGAGCAAAAUACGUUGAGGUUCUAUGUAUGGAUCGUUAGAAAAGAAAUUACGGGUCUUUUGGCUAAAAAUUCCUUUCAUGGUUUAUCAUCUGCUAAUCUUUAUGAUCUAUGUUUUCUUCCCCUUUUUUCUUUUAAUAUCAGCAUUCUUGAUUCACAUUACUGCAAAGUAAAGUUUAGAUUGUUCGUACAAAUACUUCGUUUACCUGUUUCUUUCCCCUGUCUUGGCUAGGAACUACUUUCACUGCCAUUGUGUACAUCGUAACCGCAUUGAUUGGAUCUGGGGUUUUAUCACUGGCAUGGAGUCUGGCUCAGUUGGGUUGGAUUGCUGGCAUUGCUUUCAUGCUUUUCAUUGCUGGACUCACACAUUUCCAGUCUAUGGUGCUUGCUAAUUGCUACGGAUCAUCAUCAAACUGGCAUGAUGCCAACCAUCGUCCUAUUCGUACAUACAUGGAUACUGUGAGGGAAAAUUCAGGUAAAAUUACCCGAUUAGAUAGUUUCUAAGGAAGUAUGUGUUAAUAACGUAUCCAAAUAACGAGAAAACUAGCUAGACAUAGCAGUUUUAAGAAAUUUUUGCUGCAUUAUUCCUCAUGAGGGUAAUUUAUGUAAAAAAAAAACUCAUUCUAUAGAAAUAUAAUCAAAGAACAAACGCCAUGUGUACUCUCUGUACUCUCACAGUUCUUUGUGUAGGUGUGAAGGCUGCCUGGGUUUGUGUGCGCAUUCAGCAGACGUACAUGUUUGGGACUGCAAUAGCUUGCAACAUUACAUCUGCUGCUAGCAUGAGGUAUUAUGCUUUGAAUACCCCCUCUCCUUCUCUACUCAUUAAAGGUUUUAAAAAAACUCAUUGUAUGUUUUAGCUCGUCUUUCAUGAGUAACAAUGUCCACGAUUAUAAUAUUAGAUUAAACGGUUACAUUCUGAAUCAGAAUUUCAUUUAUUCUGUCAGAAGUCAUUCACUUUCAAGAUUUAACUUCUAUGAUCAUGCAUUGUUCCGUACAUAUUUUUUCCAUUUAUUUUGAUUUUUGCUAAUAGACAUUACUUAAUGUUACUGCUUACAAGUUGCUAUAAAGUUAUUUCAAUUCUCUAUAAAUUUGUGCUGUGAUUAUCUAAUUCUCUUUUAAAUAAAGAGAUUAUGCUGAUUCUAGUCUAAUUAAACAUGAAAAAGAAUGAAAAGUUUUUUUUUUCCUCUUGCUUGUUCCGCAUGCAGCGAAUUAUGGAAAUCUUUUUGGUUUCCAAUCAAAUGGAGUUCCUCCCUCCUGGUGUUUGGAGCUGCUCAGAUAAUUCUGUCAUACACAAUAUUUUCAUAACACGAGAAUCUUAACCUAUGUCGCUGCAAUCAUGUCCAUCUUAUACACGUUCAUUGGACUUGCUCUCAGCUCUCUGGCCGCAUUCAAAGUGAUAGAUGUUUCAGCAAAUAGAAAGAUACCUGUACGAAGAUUUGGUGGGAUUUAUAUGGAUUCGUCAU
Molecule: RNA transcript, 1522 nt
Organism: Asparagus officinalis (garden asparagus)
Lineage: Eukaryota; Viridiplantae; Streptophyta; Magnoliopsida; Asparagales; Asparagaceae
Gene name: amino acid permease 3-like
Exons: 3
Source: RefSeq, a predicted model, not a curated record